AUUCCAUGGUGUGGACAUUUUCUUAACAUUGCUCUCAAUCUUUCCCAUGCUUGAUAUACAGAUUCAUUAUCUGUUUGUAUAAAAUUAUUAAUUUCUUGCUUCAUUUU
This is a non-coding RNA of Capsicum annuum, 107 nucleotides long. The record is from Rfam. NCBI's taxonomy places the organism in Eukaryota, Viridiplantae, Streptophyta, Magnoliopsida, Solanales, Solanaceae.